Molecule: transfer RNA, 95 nt
Filed under: Amycolatopsis acididurans
Lineage: Bacteria; Bacillati; Actinomycetota; Actinomycetes; Pseudonocardiales; Pseudonocardiaceae
Description: tRNA-Sec
Rfam family: Selenocysteine transfer RNA
Source: RNAcentral
GGAGGUGUACGCGUCCUGGUGGGCGCCGCGGUCUUCAAAACCGUCGAGGCCGGGAACCUCGGCCUGGCGGGUUCGAUUCCCGUCCACCUCCGCCA